GCCGGCCAGUCCCGACCCCGCGCCCCGCCCCUCGCUUCGCUCCAGGCCCCAUCACCUCACCUGGGUGGCCUUCCCCCACAGACUCGGAGGUGAAGAGGAACGUGCCCUCCUCGAUGAACGCGUCGUGGAAGCCGUUGAGCUGCCCGUUCAUGGUGGUGGCGAGAUCCCCGUUGGCCUUACUUAGGCCAGAAGACAACGGAGCCUGUUGAUGUCUAUACAGGUUCACCUGGUCAUGGAGAAGACAGCACACACACCUGCCAAGAAGAGCCCACAGUUGCUGAGUGAGGACUGUUGAGAACAGCAUCUCAGGAGUCUGGUUGUGGGAGUGACCACCGAGCCAUGGGGCAGGUGGAAAAGGAGGAGAGGACCUUCUAGAGGCCGUUGACUAUCGAGUAUUUAUAAGGGAAUUUGUGCCCAGGCCAAGCUGGAUGUGGGGAAGGGGCUGGAAUCAGGACCCAGGCUUCCUUGGCCAACUAUUUCAGGCAAAUAAGAAACUUGACCGAGCUAUGUGAUCCUUAUAAAACCUUAGACGAUUUGGGAGCCAGUAAGAAGACGAAGUCUAACAGAUGUGGUUUUGGAUUAGCUGCUGACCUAAUAGUUGGUACCAUAUUAUAUGGUAUCAAAGUAUAAAUGUGAUACCACAACCCUACUACCAGCUGUGACAUCUUUGGGUAACUGACCCUAGUGUGUGCUAUUUCCUCCACGAAUAUGUGAGCUGAAAGAUUCAGCCAUUACAUCUAUGUGGUUGCCUCCAAAGACCCCAGCCCCGCCUGACCUUUCUGGUGACUCUAGACCCACACAUCCACCUGCUUGAGGGAAAGUUUCACGUUGCUGUCAGACCAAUGCUGGCCCCAAAGUUCAACACUCCACACUGACCUCAUCGUUCUUCCAGGCUUGAAACCUAGGAUCUAUUUUUCACUCCUGCCUCUCCCUUGGCACAGUUAAUCCCCACAGCGGAGUCACCCGCUGCUGCUAGUGGCUUUCACACUCGUCACAUUGUAAAUGGCUGUGAGACGCAGUGGGUAUGUGACCUGUCACACAGACCAGGCAGAAUGGGUCCCCACCUGGAAUAGGCUGGCGUCGGUAUAGAAGUCCAUUGCAAACAUCAAAAGUGGUGUGUGGGGCUUCCCUGGUGGCGCAGUGGUUGAGCGUCCGCCUGCCGAUGCAGGGGACACGGGUUCGUGACCCAGUCCGGGGGGAUCCCACGUGCCGCGGA
This is a non-coding RNA of Delphinapterus leucas (beluga whale), 1216 nucleotides long. Lineage: Eukaryota; Metazoa; Chordata; Mammalia; Artiodactyla; Monodontidae. The record is from RefSeq and is a predicted model, not a curated record.